CCCACACGUUGAGCUUGCUUCUACCUAUGCAAUGCCCAAGUCCUUCACUUUCAUGUUCUCGCCCUUCCACGUUGCUAGCAUGCUUAUGGCAACUCCUCCAAGAACAUCACGCCAGACCUUCAAUUUGGAGAAUCCAGACCAGAGACUGUCGUCCACCCUCCUCUUCUCACCCUUCCUCUCAUCCCUAUGCAUAUCAGUGUAUUUUCAUUCCCCGAAACGCCUAGUUAGGCACCUCCGAUCAAAAAAAUUUCUUCAUGAAAGUUGUUCGCCUAUGUCUCUUCUAUCUAGUCUCAAAAUUUCAGCUCCAUCGGAGUCAUUUUGAGACCUGUACACCCCUCGAAGUGGAUACCGUUCGGAAGCGAGCCUGUUCCGGAUUUCUGCUUGAAUUCCCUCUCUUGCUCUACCCAAAUCCCCCACAUCUUGCUUGAGACUGAUACCAACAGUUGGUAAGAUUCUUGAACAAUCAAGUUCCUAUUUCUUUCCUGAAUUUUUAGGCUCAAUACGUUCAAAACAACUCUCCUACAUAUUGAGAAGUUUCUGUUUCACUCGGCAUGUUUGAGAUUGAGCGAAUUUCUUGGCCUGCAACUGGGCUCGAUCCCAUCAACUCCCUCAGCUUUCUUUCCUAUUGAAGCCCUCAAGAAAAACUCAACUUUUUGGUUAGUCUUUGGCUCGAUAUCGUGGUAGGAUCUUGUGAAGUUGGCGGUUGCUACAAGGUUGCAUUGAGACCAAGUGCUACAAGAGAAAUCUCGAGUUCCAGGCCUUGGUUAUUUCUCCACCGUUUGACUUUUCAAGUUGGUGCCACAUGCCAACAAGAAUUAGAGAGCUUGAAUUUUUCCCCUGUAGGAGGUGUGAUGGCUUUGUUCAAUACUUGUAGGAGAAAUUUGAACCAAUGUCAAGUACACCGUUUCUUUUACUUUGAAUAGAGAAAAGAGUGCUAUAGCACUUCAUUAUCUUCUCUCAUUCACAAAUGAAGAGUUGCAAGAACUUCCAUUCCUCUGCUUAUUUCAUUCUCCUAAAAUUUUGGU
Rosa chinensis is the source of this 1025-nucleotide long non-coding RNA. RefSeq lists it as uncharacterized. NCBI's taxonomy places the organism in Eukaryota, Viridiplantae, Streptophyta, Magnoliopsida, Rosales, Rosaceae. The transcript is spliced from 3 exons. The record is from RefSeq and is a predicted model, not a curated record.